GUCCAGGGAUGGGAAUCGAACCCACAAUGUUCCGCUUACCGGGCAGAUGCCACUAGUACUAGGCUACCCUGGA
Cordylochernes scorpioides is the source of this 73-nucleotide non-coding RNA. The record is from the annotation of a GenBank genome assembly. NCBI's taxonomy places the organism in Eukaryota, Metazoa, Arthropoda, Arachnida, Pseudoscorpiones, Chernetidae.